RNAcentral lists this ribosomal RNA (603 nucleotides) under Triticum aestivum (bread wheat). RNAcentral describes it as "partial small subunit ribosomal RNA". The record is from RNAcentral. Lineage: Eukaryota; Viridiplantae; Streptophyta; Magnoliopsida; Poales; Poaceae.
AUGAUCUUGCCAAGAAGCUGUUCCUUAUGCUUGAAGGUAAACCUUUAUGCUCAACAAUCAUUUUCAACUGUGAUUUUUCCAUUCGACCGUUGCCUUGACUCAGUGAUCGCCCUUGCAGAAUUUUGUCAAGACUUUGAAGAAGAGACUAGCCAGCUGGAACCAAACCUUGACCCCGUCAAUUCUCCGGUGGACGACGAAGUUGCCAUGAAUGUUUUCCGACUGGAGUCCCGUGUCGCAGCUGUCGUGGACUAUCUCGCAAGGCUGAAGGUCGCCACAUCUCGCAUCGACUCAACGCUCUGGCCCGGGGAGACACUCCAGCACGACCUCGAGUCGCUGAUGGCUCGCUUGAACACAGUCCCUGGUCGAGUGCAGGAGUGGAAAAAGUCCUUGGCUCGGUGCGGUGCAGAUGUUGCUCUGUGUCUGGCCCGAGUCCACUGCAAAGAUGCGCGAGAAGACAAGCUGGCGGCCCUCCGGGUGGCCAACACCAAGAAACACGACUUCCGGUCCUUUAUGGAAACUUUCAUUGCUGCUGCCACUCGGAUCGCAGAUGGAAUUGAUCUUGAUGAGUUUGUUGCACCUUCCAGCCCUCCACAGGAGGGGUAA